GACGAACGCUGGCGGCGUGCUUAACACAUGCAAGUCGAGCGGUAAGGCCCUUUCGGGGGUACGACGAGCGGCGAACGGGUGAGUAACACGUGGGUGACCUGCCCUUACGCUCUGGGAUAAGCCUGGGAAACUGGGUCUAAUACCGGAUAUGACUCCAUGACGCAUGUUGUGGGGUGGAAAGCCUUGUGCGGCUAGGGAUGGGCCCGCGGCCUAUCAGCUUGUUGGUGGGGUGAUGGCCUACCAAGGCGACGACGGGUAGCCGGCCUGAGAGGGCGACCGGCCACACUGGGACUGAGACACGGCCCAGACUCCUACGGGAGGCAGCAGUGGGGAAUCUUGCGCAAUGGGCGAAAGCCUGACGCAGCGACGCCGCGUGGGGA
Molecule: ribosomal RNA, 380 nt
Filed under: uncultured bacterium
Lineage: Bacteria
Description: bacterial SSU rRNA
Rfam family: Bacterial small subunit ribosomal RNA
Source: RNAcentral